GGAAGUAAAAGUCGAACAAGGUCUCCGUAGGUGAACCUGCGGAGGGAUCAUUACAGAGUUCUCGCCCUUACGGGUAGAUCUCCCACCCACUGUUAUCGUUACUGUCGUUUCUUUGGCGGGCCGCCGGGUCCCCGGCCGCCGGCGCCUAGCUGCCGGCGCGCGCCCGCCAGAGGCCUUCAAACUCUGAAUGUUAGUGUCGUCUGAGUACUAUAUAAUAGUUAAAACUUUCAACAACGGAUCUCUUGGUUCUG
RNAcentral lists this unclassified non-coding RNA (251 nucleotides) under plant metagenome. Its description in RNAcentral is "partial contains small subunit ribosomal RNA, internal transcribed spacer 1, and 5.8S ribosomal RNA". The stretch from base 1 to 53 matches the Rfam family "Eukaryotic small subunit ribosomal RNA", at positions 1778 to 1831 of the family's 1831-position model. The record is from RNAcentral.